CGCUCGUCAGAGAUUUUACGAAAACGUCGACAUAAAAACGUAAUGUCACAGCAUUGUACUUUAGUAUAUAGAUACACACCUAUAUUAUAAUAUUCCCGUUUUAAAAUUCAAUUUGGAUGUGCCCAGAAAUGUUAUUUUCCACAUUUUAGCAGUUAGCCAAGGGGCCCCAUUAUCGUUCGUCCAACCACUUUCAAUGGAGAAUUCUCAAGUUUGAAGCUGCGCAAGGCAGAUGCUACACAUACGGUUUGAGAGCGUGUUUACCCACUCCAAUCUCAAAAAUUAACGGAAGAAACGGUCGUGGACGAUAAUGGGGUCUGGAAAUGUUGGAGUUUGAAUGGACGAUAGCUAUGGUGUGGCUCACUACUACAAUAGCAAAGAUUAACGACCUGUGGAUCAAUGAUCCCUCUGCACAUUGCAGCAUCUUGACAUCACAGUAUAUGGAUCUCACAUUUAUCACCUGGAUUCCAUUUCCGGAGUUUGAAAUACAAUCACAGGAAUGAAGCCGCCAUUUUCACAAGGUUGACAGGACAAGGUGAUGAAAGUAUAAGACAAUAAAGUAUCCUCACACUGGUAGUCUUUUAUUUACAGAGACUAUUUUUUUAAUCAUAGAUGUUUGGGAUGAGCUGGCCUUUUUUUUUUUUUUACCAUUAAAACCAAAACAUCCACCACUAAACUAAGCAGAAAAUCAUAGUGUCUGAGGGAGAAGUUUGUGGUUUUCAGUGACAGGCAGUGCUACUCAACACGUGCAAGACAUGAGCUCUGACAAUAUAUUACUUGCUGUUAUCAUUUAACUAAAUACUGUAUUUAUUUAUUCUGGAACUGAUGCAAAGCUGACUUGGCUGAAUGUGCCCCUUGAGUAUCAAUGUCUCCAACAACAUAAGAGCUGAAUACGACACUUUAGUGC
Long non-coding RNA from Hypomesus transpacificus, 904 nucleotides. RefSeq lists it as uncharacterized. Lineage: Eukaryota; Metazoa; Chordata; Actinopteri; Osmeriformes; Osmeridae. The transcript has 3 exons. The record is from RefSeq and is a predicted model, not a curated record.